RNAcentral lists this transfer RNA (57 nucleotides) under Melipona fasciculata. RNAcentral's name for it is "tRNA-Ser". Lineage: Eukaryota; Metazoa; Arthropoda; Insecta; Hymenoptera; Apidae. The record is from RNAcentral.
GAAAUAAAAAUUUAAAGCUUCUAACUUUAUAAAAAGAUAUAAAUUAUCUAUAUUUCU